CAGGGAGUGGGGGGUCCCUCAGCCCAAAUUGCGAGAGGGCACAGGCCAGGCUGAGGGACCCCACCGGUGCACA
Molecule: non-coding RNA, 73 nt
Organism: Myotis brandtii (Brandt's bat)
Lineage: Eukaryota; Metazoa; Chordata; Mammalia; Chiroptera; Vespertilionidae
Source: Rfam